AACGAACGCUGGCGGCAUGCCUAACACAUGCAAGUCGAACGAGACCUUCGGGUCUAGUGGCGCACGGGUGCGUAACGCGUGGGAACCUGCCCUUAGGUUCGGAAUAACUCCCCGAAAGGGGUGCUAAUACCGGAUAAUGUCUUCGGACCAAAGAUUUAUCGCCUUUGGAUGGGCCCGCGUUUGAUUAGCUAGUUGGUAGGGUAAAAGCCUACCAAGGCGACGAUCCAUAGCUGGUCUGAGAGGAUGAUCAGCCACACUGGGACUGAGACACGGCCCAGACUCCUACGGGAGGCAGCAGUGGGGAAUCUUGCACAAUGGGCGAAAGCCUGAUCCAGCAAUGCCGCGUGAGUGAUGAAGGCCUUAGGGUUGUAAAGCUCUUUUACCCGGGAUGAUAAUGACAGUACCGGGAGAAUAAGCUCCGGCUAACUCCGUG
Molecule: ribosomal RNA, 433 nt
Filed under: uncultured bacterium
Lineage: Bacteria
Description: partial 16S ribosomal RNA
Rfam family: Bacterial small subunit ribosomal RNA
Source: RNAcentral